Molecule: ribosomal RNA, 606 nt
Filed under: Psychroserpens mesophilus
Lineage: Bacteria; Pseudomonadati; Bacteroidota; Flavobacteriia; Flavobacteriales; Flavobacteriaceae
Description: bacterial SSU rRNA
Rfam family: Bacterial small subunit ribosomal RNA
Source: RNAcentral
CCUACCAUGCAGUCGAACGGUAACAUUGGUGCUUGCACCAGAUGACGAGUGGCGCACGGCUGCGUAACGCGUAUACAAUCUACCUUUUACAGAGGGAUAGCCCAGAGAAAUUUGGAUUAAUAUCUCAUAGUAUUAUUUUAUGGCAUCAUAAAAUAAUUAAAGAUUUAUCGGUAAAAGAUGAGUAUGCGUUCUAUUAGUUAGUUGGAGUGGUAACGGCACCCCAAGACAGCGAUAGAUAGGGGCCCUGAGAGGGGGAUCCCCCACACUGGUACUGAGACACGGACCAGACUCCUACGGGAGGCAGCAGUGAGGAAUAUUGGACAAUGGAGGCAACUCUGAUCCAGCCAUGCCGCGUGCAGGAAGACUGCCCUAUGGGUUGUAAACUGCUUUUAUACAGGAAGAAACCGCUCUACGUGUAGAGCUCUGACGGUACUGUAAGAAUAAGGAUCGGCUAACUCCGUGCCAGCAGCCGCGGUAAUACGGAGGAUCCAAGCGUUAUCCGGAAUCAUUGGGUUUAAAGGGUCCGUAGGUGGAUAAUUAAGUCAGAGGUGAAAGUCUGCAGCUCAACUGUAGAAUUGCCUUUUGAUACUGGUUAUCUUUGAGUUU